AAAACACAAGGGAAAAAGGAAAUUAUCGUUGUUUUUAAAAUGAUAAUUAAUUGAAAAUAUUUUACGUAAGAGAAGGAUCUACAAAAUUAAAUAAGCUGGCAACGAGUGACGUAUACGUGAAUAAUUAUAUACCUGGACAAGAGGGUGCAUGUUUGAGGACAUGAGGUAAAUCAAAGUUAAUCCCCCUUAAUUGUGGAUAUUUAGAAACAACUUGAGAACAUGAGGUAAAUCAAAAUUAAUACCCCUUAAUUGUGGAUAUUUAGAAACAAUUGAUUUAAGAUUUGCACCUAAGCCACCGGCAACAUCCACCAAUUGGUUCAGCC
This 323-nucleotide long non-coding RNA is filed under the name Citrus sinensis (sweet orange). RNAcentral describes it as "long non-coding RNA (CSIN_LNC004548)". The record is from RNAcentral. Lineage: Eukaryota; Viridiplantae; Streptophyta; Magnoliopsida; Sapindales; Rutaceae.